UACAGAAGAAGCACCGGCUAACUCCGUGCCAGCAGCCGCGGUAAUACGGAGGGUGCGAGCGUUAAUCGGAAUUACUGGGCGUAAAGCGCAUGCAGGCGGCCUGUUAAGUCAGAUGUGAAAGCCCCGGGGCUUAACCUCGGAAUUGCAUUUGAAACUGGCAGGCUAGAGUCUUGUAGAGGGGGUAGAAUUUCAGGUGUAGCGGUGAAAUGCGUAGAGAUCUGAAGGAAUACCAGUGGCGAAGGCGGCCCCCUGGACAAAGACUGACGCUCAGAUGCGAAAGCGUGGGGAGCAAACAGGAUUAGAUACCCUGGUAG
Molecule: ribosomal RNA, 314 nt
Filed under: uncultured bacterium
Lineage: Bacteria
Description: bacterial SSU rRNA
Rfam family: Bacterial small subunit ribosomal RNA
Source: RNAcentral